This 27-nucleotide non-coding RNA is filed under the name Homo sapiens (human). The record is from RNAcentral. Lineage: Eukaryota; Metazoa; Chordata; Mammalia; Primates; Hominidae.
UAGGGUGGGCUCCUGAAGUCAAUGAAA